Molecule: long non-coding RNA, 1127 nt
Organism: Hippocampus zosterae (dwarf seahorse)
Lineage: Eukaryota; Metazoa; Chordata; Actinopteri; Syngnathiformes; Syngnathidae
Exons: 5
Source: RefSeq, a predicted model, not a curated record
AUGUGUCUUGCUUUUUCAGUUGUGCCUUACCAUGGAGGGUGUCACCUCCACCCCCGCCAGCGAGCUCUCUUCUCCUCUCCAAAACAUUCUCCAGAGCGGAUUGAAGCUUGGAAGGCAGGAUGGUGUCUUCGUCAUCCAUCUUAGGAAGAGAUUGACAACCAGAACCUGCGCGGUGACCAAUCGGCAUCAUGAAAAAGAGACUUUUGUGGCGUCUUGAUGUGUGAAAAUCUGGCUGACCUCUUCCAGGGGCAGCUCGCUGAGCUGAGGCAAGGAGCUGGUCAGCAAGCCCACGAUGAAAGGGGUCGGGGUGCACACCACGUCCGGCAUGGCAGAGGGGAGCGCGGGGAUGUAGGUGUGCUGCCACACAAACGGGUAGAGGAGGGUGACCACCGCGUGGCAGCACUGGGACAAGACACAUUGUACCUCCGUGCCCGAGCCGGGGAGGAAAGUCUUGAUGGUGAUAGUCCUGCCCGGAGCUGGAACCUGGGCCUCCAUGAUGGCUCUCAUGAACGGCUGCACCAGAGCGGGAGACAGAGCCCUCCGCCUCUCCACCUCAUCCAACACCUACGGCACAGGAGUCCCACACGCAUCACCGACUCCAAUAUACAAAUGUGGAAGAAACCAUCACUACGCGACAAGACGGCCCACCCGCUGAUUGAGAGGCAAUACGCUCAUGAGAUCGUGUCGGAACCUUGCUCGUGUCGGCACCGGGAGAGGAGGGCAAAGAAGACUGCUGGGAGCAUUGACUCUCCAACUCGAUGUCCUCAUACGGGUUCUCUUUGUCUGGAAGACAACUCGCGUCAUUGAAGGAUUUGGAAAGCCGUGUUGCAGCUUUCAAGCCUACAGAGGAUGACUGUGAGGGUUCUUUUCCUUCCCAAAGCGAGAUCUUGUCCUUGAUGUUGCCGCCGCUGCCGGAUACAGGGAGCUUGUUGCCCACUAGGAGUCUUUUCCCAUCGCUUCGAUGGUCCGAAUUGGGCCUACGGUGAGCCAUUGUGAUCCAACGCGCAAGAAUCACUGAAUUAAAUAGAGAGAGAGUGGUUCAACAAACCAUGUGGUUCAACUGUUAUUUUUCUGAUUAAAUAUUGGGGGAAUGAAUUUUUUAAAAUAACAAAAUAAGAAUUGGGGGG